RNAcentral lists this ribosomal RNA (253 nucleotides) under uncultured bacterium. RNAcentral describes it as "partial 16S ribosomal RNA". It matches the Rfam family "Bacterial small subunit ribosomal RNA", at positions 524 to 776 of the family's 1533-position model. The record is from RNAcentral.
UACGUAGGGUGCGAGCGCUGUCCGGAAUUAUUGGGCGUAAAGGGCUCGUAGGCGGUUUGUCGCGUCGGGAGUGAAAUCCACUGGCUUAACUGGUGGCUUGCUUUCGAUACGGGCAGACUGGAGGUAUGCAGGGGAGAACGGAAUUCCUGGUGUAGCGGUGAAAUGCGCAGAUAUCAGGAGGAACACCGGUGGCGAAGGCGGUUCUCUGGGCAUGUCCUGACGCUGAGACGCGAAAGCGUGGGGAGCGAACAGG